This 72-nucleotide transfer RNA is filed under the name Balbiania investiens. Its description in RNAcentral is "tRNA-Ala". It matches the Rfam family "tRNA". From Rfam's summary of the family: Transfer RNA (tRNA) molecules are approximately 80 nucleotides in length. Their secondary structure includes four short double-helical elements and three loops (D, anti-codon, and T loops). Lineage: Eukaryota; Rhodophyta; Florideophyceae; Balbianiales; Balbianiaceae. The record is from RNAcentral.
GGGGGUAUAGUUCAACUGGUAAAAUAUAUGUUUUGCGUACAUAAGAUACAGGUUCAAGUCCUGUUAUCUCCA